CCCUACGGGACGCAGCAGUGGGGAAUAUUGCACAAUGGGGGAAACCCUGAUGCAGCGACGCCGCGUGAGCGAUGAAGUAUCUCGGUAUGUAAAGCUCUAUCAGCAGGGAAGAAAGUGACAGUACCUGACUAAGAAGCCCCGGCUAACUACGUGCCAGCAGCCGCGGUAAUACGUAGGGGGCAAGCGUUAUCCGGAUUCACUGGGCGUAAAGGGAGCGUAGACGGCGAAGAAAGUCUGAAGUGAAAGCCCGCGGCUCAACCGCGGAAUGGCUUUGGAAACUUUUUUGCUGGAGUACCGGAGAGGUA
Molecule: ribosomal RNA, 305 nt
Filed under: uncultured bacterium
Lineage: Bacteria
Description: bacterial SSU rRNA
Rfam family: Bacterial small subunit ribosomal RNA
Source: RNAcentral